ACUGAGCGGCGGACGGGUGAGUAACGCGUGGGUAACCUGCCUCAUACAGGGGGAUAACAGUUGGAAACGGCUGCUAAUACCGCAUAAGCGCACAGUACCGUAUGGUACGGUGUGAAAAACUCCGGUGGUAUGAGAUGGACCCGCGUCUGAUUAGGUAGUUGGUGGGGUAACGGCCUACCAAGCCGACGAUCAGUAGCCGACCUGAGAGGGUGACCGGCCACAUUGGGACUGAGACACGGCCCAA
This 244-nucleotide ribosomal RNA is filed under the name uncultured bacterium. Its description in RNAcentral is "partial 16S ribosomal RNA". It matches the Rfam family "Bacterial small subunit ribosomal RNA", at positions 90 to 334 of the family's 1533-position model. The record is from RNAcentral.